UCAUAUUCUUGUCAACCGGAAAGCUCCCUGAAGACAAAGCGGAAUCCAUUUGAAUGCAGAGAAGGGCACUGAUCUACUCGUACCAGGAUGGCUGCUUGUACAGAAGAUCAACAACACACCCCAAGUCUAGAUGUAUUUUAGAAGAAAAGAGAAACUACAUCAUUAAAGAGAUAUAUGAAGAAAUAUGUGAAACACAUCAGGCACCAUGACUGUGGUAAGGAGAUUCCUGCU
This 231-nucleotide long non-coding RNA is filed under the name Ricinus communis (castor bean). RNAcentral's name for it is "long non-coding RNA (RCOM_LNC002212)". Lineage: Eukaryota; Viridiplantae; Streptophyta; Magnoliopsida; Malpighiales; Euphorbiaceae. The record is from RNAcentral.